This 470-nucleotide ribosomal RNA is filed under the name uncultured bacterium. Its description in RNAcentral is "partial 16S ribosomal RNA". It matches the Rfam family "Bacterial small subunit ribosomal RNA", at positions 28 to 507 of the family's 1533-position model. The record is from RNAcentral.
GGUGAACGCUGGCGGCGUGCCUAAGACAUGCAAGUCGAGCGGGGCAGGUUUAUACCUGUUCAGCGGCGGACGGGUGAGUAACGCGUGGGUGACCUACCCGGAAGAGGCGGACAACCUGGGGAAACCCAGGCUAAUCCGCCAUGUGGUCCUGUCCUGUGGGGCAGGACUAAAGGGUGGAUAGCCCGCUUCCGGAUGGGCCCGCGUCCCAUCAGCUAGUUGGUGGGGUAAAGGCCCACCAAGGCGACGACGGGUAGCCGGUCUGAGAGGAUGGCCGGCCACAGGGGCACUGAGACACGCGCCCCACUCCUACGGGAGGCAGCAAUUAGGAAUCUUCCGGAAUGGACGGAAGUCUGACGGAGCGACGCCGCUUGGAGGAGGAAGGCCUUCGGGGUGUAAACUCCUGAACUGGGGACGAAAGCCCUGUGUAGGGGGAUGACGGUACCCAGGUAAUAGCGCCGGCCAACUCCGUG